UGGCUCAAUCGGUAGAGCGUCUGACUAGCAGUCGGACACUCGCUGGUUCGAGUCCGGU
Molecule: transfer RNA, 58 nt
Filed under: Ancylostoma ceylanicum
Lineage: Eukaryota; Metazoa; Nematoda; Chromadorea; Rhabditida; Ancylostomatidae
Rfam family: tRNA
About the family: Transfer RNA (tRNA) molecules are approximately 80 nucleotides in length. Their secondary structure includes four short double-helical elements and three loops (D, anti-codon, and T loops). Further hydrogen bonds mediate the characteristic L-shaped molecular structure. tRNAs have two regions of fundamental functional importance: the anti-codon, which is responsible for specific mRNA codon recognition, and the 3' end, to which the tRNAs corresponding amino acid is attached (by aminoacyl-tRNA synthetases). tRNAs cope with the degeneracy of the genetic code in two manners: having more than one tRNA (with a specific anti-codon) for a particular amino acid; and 'wobble' base-pairing, i.e. permitting non-standard base-pairing at the 3rd anti-codon position.
Source: Rfam by way of RNAcentral